UACGUAGGUGUCAAGCGUUGUCCGGAUUCAUUGGGCGUAAAGAGCUCGUAGGCGGCUUGGUAAGUCGGAUGUGAAACCUCCAGGCUCAACCUGGAGUCGCCAUCCGAUACUGCCAUGGCUAGAGUCCGGUAGGGGCCCACGGAAUUCCUGGUGUAGCGGUGAAAUGCGCAGAUAUCAGGAGGAACACCGAUGGCGAAGGCAGUGGGCUGGGCCGGCACUGACGCUGAGGAGCGAAAGCGUGGGGAGCGAACAGG
Molecule: ribosomal RNA, 254 nt
Filed under: uncultured bacterium
Lineage: Bacteria
Description: partial 16S ribosomal RNA
Rfam family: Bacterial small subunit ribosomal RNA
Source: RNAcentral